Molecule: non-coding RNA, 21 nt
Filed under: Caenorhabditis elegans
Lineage: Eukaryota; Metazoa; Nematoda; Chromadorea; Rhabditida; Rhabditidae
Source: RNAcentral
UAUUUCCCGUGUCUUUUAAAA